This 370-nucleotide RNase P RNA is filed under the name Candidatus Solincola sediminis. RNAcentral describes it as "Actinobacteria bacterium RBG_16_55_12 RNase P RNA component class A". It matches the Rfam family "Bacterial RNase P class A". From Rfam's summary of the family: Ribonuclease P (RNase P) is a ubiquitous endoribonuclease, found in archaea, bacteria and eukarya as well as chloroplasts and mitochondria. Its best characterised activity is the generation of mature 5'-ends of tRNAs by cleaving the 5'-leader elements of precursor-tRNAs. Cellular RNase Ps are ribonucleoproteins. Lineage: Bacteria; Bacillati; Actinomycetota; Candidatus Geothermincolia; Candidatus Geothermincolales; Candidatus Geothermincolaceae. The record is from RNAcentral.
AGAGCCGACCGGGUGGUCGCGGGCGUAUUCCAACGCUCGAGGAAAGUCCGGACUCCACAGGGCAGGGAGCUGGGUAACGCCCAGGCGGGGAAACCCGACGGAAAGUGCCACAGAAAGGGAAACCGCCGGCCUUCAUUUAUGAGGGCGGGCAAGGGUGAAAAGGUGGGGUAAGAGCCCACCAGCGGCCUGGUGACAGGACCGGCUUGGUAAACCCCUCUUGGAGCAAGGCCAAAUAGGAGCCGAUGCUGUAGCCCGCAGCGUUCGAGGCUCGGGUAGGCCGCUCGAGGCCGCCGGUAACGGCGGUCCCAGAUGGAUGACCACCGCCCGGUUCGUCCGGGUACAGGAUCCGGCUUACAGGUCGGCUCUCUCU